ACCCUGAUGGCGUCAUGAUCGCUGCUUAUUGCCUUUCAAAUAGGUUUUCAGCAUUCUGCUUACACCUUUGGCAUAGAGUCACAUAUUUCACAAUCCAACAUCAAUUGGUACCAACAGCAGCCCUUCUCUCCAUCAUCCAGAAGGAUCUGAGAUCAGUGUUGGAGAUGAUGGUUUGGAACAACCCAUGGAAAGCUUAUCACUCAUUGAUGCUAUGAUGCCUGAUGUUGUUGCAAGUCGUCAACAGCAAACGCAGAACAAUCAGAAACCACAAGUGGUAAAGACAGAACCACCAAAUUCCAAUGGAGAUGAACCCAUGCAUCGUAAGGCUGGGAAGAGGAAACAGGAGUAGAGAUACCUGCCAGCAAAUCAACUGUACUUCGUGGCCAUGAAUCUGAAGUUUUCAUCUGCGCCUGAACCCAACAACUGAUUUAUUGGCUUCUGGCUCUGGUGAUAG
Long non-coding RNA from Daphnia pulicaria, 454 nucleotides. RefSeq lists it as uncharacterized. The record is from RefSeq and is a predicted model, not a curated record. Lineage: Eukaryota; Metazoa; Arthropoda; Branchiopoda; Diplostraca; Daphniidae. The transcript is spliced from 3 exons.